RNAcentral lists this ribosomal RNA (252 nucleotides) under uncultured Bacteroidales bacterium. Its description in RNAcentral is "partial 16S ribosomal RNA". It matches the Rfam family "Bacterial small subunit ribosomal RNA", at positions 524 to 776 of the family's 1533-position model. The record is from RNAcentral. Lineage: Bacteria; Pseudomonadati; Bacteroidota; Bacteroidia; Bacteroidales.
UACGUAGGGGGCAAGCGUUAUCCGGAUUUAUUGGGUUUAAAGGGUGCGUAGGCGGAGGUGCAAGUCAGUGGUCAAAUUGCGGGGCUCAACCCCAUCCAGCCGUUGAAACUGGGGAUCUAGAGUGUGCGAGAGGUAUGCGGAAUGCGUGGUGUAGCGGUGAAAUGCAUAGAUAUCACGCAGAACCCCGAUUGCGAAGGCAGCAUACCGGUGCACAACUGACGCUCAGGCACGAAAGCGUGGGUAUCGAACAGG